Molecule: RNase P RNA, 333 nt
Filed under: Actinomycetota bacterium
Lineage: Bacteria; Bacillati; Actinomycetota
Description: RNase P RNA component class A
Rfam family: Bacterial RNase P class A
About the family: Ribonuclease P (RNase P) is a ubiquitous endoribonuclease, found in archaea, bacteria and eukarya as well as chloroplasts and mitochondria. Its best characterised activity is the generation of mature 5'-ends of tRNAs by cleaving the 5'-leader elements of precursor-tRNAs.
Source: RNAcentral
GCUGCGGGUUACGCGAUCGCGGGGGAGGUAUCCCUCGAGGAAAGUCCGGACACCAAAGGGCAAGGCGGUGGGUAACGCCCACCCGGGGAAACCCGCGGGAAAGUGCCGCAGAAAAGACACGGCCGAUGGCGCGGCCACACGUGAGUCGCGUACAGGCAAAGGUGAAAUGGUGCGGUAAGAGCGCACCGGCGGCGCGGUGACGCGACGCGCAAGGCAAACCCCGCCAGGUGCAAGGCCAAGCAGGACCGACGACCCGGCUCGGCGAGGUCCAGGUAGGCCGCAUAGAUGGAUGGCUGCCCCCGACAGGAUCCGGCUUACAGGCUCACUAAGGAA